UGCCCCAUCUUGUCUGCCGGCAGCAUGC
Molecule: non-coding RNA, 28 nt
Filed under: Homo sapiens (human)
Lineage: Eukaryota; Metazoa; Chordata; Mammalia; Primates; Hominidae
Source: RNAcentral